UCCCUAUGGUGUCUUGACUCAGCCCAGCU
Molecule: non-coding RNA, 29 nt
Filed under: Homo sapiens (human)
Lineage: Eukaryota; Metazoa; Chordata; Mammalia; Primates; Hominidae
Source: RNAcentral